AUUUACUUGUAUAGACAAGGCAAGAGCCCUGAAGCAACAGUAUUCCAAGAAGUUCCUUGCAUACUGAGAUUUAUGCUUUAUGGAUUCAGAAGCCUCGGCCUCAAAGUUUUCUUGAAGUUGACUCAUGGAAAUACCAAAGAUUUUUGAGCAUUUUCGGAUAACUACAUUUGCAGCAGGGGAUAGCUCUGGCAACCAACUCUUGCCAGUGGAUGAAGACCCCAUCUCAUCUGAAUCUUCAUCACAUGAACUCGGGGUUUUAGUCAACCAUUUAAACGACCCCUCUUUAACCAGACCCUCCAGCAUAGUUCUGGUUUUACUAACCAUUGCUAUUCAAAAAACCUCCUCCUCAGAUCAUUAACCAACAGGAAUCACCCACUUAAAUCCUUACACAAACCACUGUAAAAUCAAUGGCAGAAGUGUGAAUGAGAAAUAGGGAAAGUUAGUUGUGCGAAAUCGGGCAGUGUAAAAGCAGAUAUUGAGGUCCACCGACUCAUAUAUUAGUA
Molecule: unclassified non-coding RNA, 503 nt
Filed under: Hevea brasiliensis (rubber tree)
Lineage: Eukaryota; Viridiplantae; Streptophyta; Magnoliopsida; Malpighiales; Euphorbiaceae
Source: RNAcentral